GCAAACGCUGGCGGCGUGCCUAAUACAUGCAAGUCGAACGGGGAAAGUCUUCGGAUGAGUACUAGUGGCGAACGGGAGAGGAACACGUGGGUAAUCUACCUUUAGAUGAAGAAUAACUAGUCGAAAGAUUAGCUAAUACUUCGUAAGACCACAGUAUCUAAUGAUACAGGGGUUAUAGGAGCAAUCCGUCUUUAGAUGAGCCCGCGUCCGAUUAGCUAGUUGGUGAGGUAAUGGCUCACCAAGGCUGUGAUUGGUAGCUGGUCUGAGAGGAUGACCAGCCUCACUGGAACUGACACACGGUCCAGACUCCUACGGGAGGCAGCAGUAGGGAAUAUUGCACAAUGGACGAAAGUCUGAUGCAGCGACGCCGCGUGGGUGAUGAAGGAUUUCGGUUCGUAAAGCCCUUUUGUCAGGGAAUAAAAAAAUGAAUGUACCUGAAGAAUAAGCACCGGCUAACUUCGU
Molecule: ribosomal RNA, 462 nt
Filed under: uncultured bacterium
Lineage: Bacteria
Description: bacterial SSU rRNA
Rfam family: Bacterial small subunit ribosomal RNA
Source: RNAcentral